CGCCCGGAGCGCGCUCCGGAACGCCAUCCGGAGGGAGUAACGGAGGGUGAGGUCGGUGACGUUCGGGGACAGGCAGGUGUUGCACCCGACGAGGCGGCCGCGGCGGUCGUAGAACAUCGACGGCCGGUAGAACCAGCUCCCGGCGGAGACGACGUCGUAGUCGAACGCGCCGACGUGCGCCGCCCACCCGGCGUCGGGCUCGUCGAGGUGGAGGCUCCACAGGCCGGAGCCGCUCCCCGUCGGGCCGUCGGGGUCCGUCUCGACGGCGCGGACGAGGAACGGCGACCAGAACGCCGCGACGGUGAGGCCGUGCCGCUCGAAGCGGUACGCGUAGCUGCCGUUCGUCCACGGCGCCGGCCGCUCGGCGCGCGACAGGAGGCACACCAGCGAGUCCCCGACGAACGCCACCGACCUGCCCCUCAUCGCGGCGAGGAACCUCGCAGCGUCGAACCGCCGCAUCUCGCACCCGCCGUCCGGCCGCCACCGCCACCGGACGUACCCAAGAUCCGGCCGUCCGUACCGCAUGCAAUCAUAAUGCCCAUGGAUCACCGGACAGCUCUCGCCGGUGUACGGCGGCGGCUCGCGGGCCAUGUCCGGCACCCACUCGCCCUUGAAGAUGUCACAACCAGACGUGUCGCCGCCCACGCCAUCCGCCGUGUUCGUCAUCAGCAGCAGCGGCAGCGGCACGCGGCCGGGUAGGCUGACGGCGGCGAGCACCAGAACGCACGCGGCGACGGCGGCGGCGGGAAGCACAUAGCGUAGGGCGUAAUGAGCAAUGGAUGGCAGCUUGAUCGCCUCGUGAAACUUCAUCGUCGAUGUGGGUGGUCAACGUACGUCCACACUAUAGCUAAGCUCAUGGAGGAUCAGGAGAUCGCUGUAUAUACGUCGAAUUUUUUUCUGCAGUUUUUUUGUCACGAAUAUUCAUUUGAUACGGGAGAUCGCUGUAUAUACGGGACGGGAGAGAUGGAAGGAUGAGCCGGACCUCCUCGUCGCCACGGUGUCAACCUCCCGCCGACGCAGGGGGAGAGGGAGAGGAGCUGGCCGCUGGCACCGCCGCACCGCUGCGUAGGGGAGAGGCGCGGUUUGCGAGAGGAGAAGAGCGAUGCAUGCAAGAGGAUAAGGAAGAUGAGGCACGCAAGGGGAUAAGAGCGUAAAUUUGUUUUCUUUCUCAUGCUCCACGCCCGUCGCCUCGGUUUAAUCAAGUAUCGGUUUUUUUUCAAAAAUCGGCACUCGUACGUACUCAAAGGUGCUAGUUUUCAAUAGAAAUCAACACAUUUCUCUCUGACAGAAGUCAUAGGUACCAGAUUGUAUUAAAGGUGUCGGUUCUACCGGAUGACGCCCCGUAGGCACUAGACACGUGCCGCGGACAGGGGUUUGUAGGUGCCGGUUUUAGUAUUUCUCCAUCACUUUUGUGUAUUUUUGUGGUAGUGUGUAGAGAUGAUCGAUCAGUCAGUGCGCACAAUAUAUCGCCAGAUAAUUUAGGAAGGGAUCAAGAAUAACGUAAGCUAGUUAACCUCGCUCGUGACAAAAUGAGCACAAUAGCAGCCAGCAUUAUCAAGACCCUGGUCGCAAUUAUUUACCCGUGAUACCAGCACUCCUAUCAUUCGAGUCCAAAUCACCAUAUCAACAUGAAAUUUUGGAAGACGAGGCUAAAAAAUCCUACUAAUUACUUGUCCAUUGGGCCGAAGGACAGCUUACACAAGCAAGAUGCGGACCAAUUUAUGCUUGCUUAACUGGCCUGAGUAGGCUGCAGCUAGCCCUGUGGGUUUUGGGCCCUUGUGCGACACAGCGAUUGGUGAAGGCGGCUAUCAGGGCAUUCACAAUGCGCCUCCGUGGCGUUCAGCCUCGGCUUGAGGAACGGCAUAUUCUAUGCCUCGUCGAUUACACUCGGAGCCUCACGAGGAACGCGUAGCAAGUUUUGGUCACCCAUUCUUCCCACUAAAAGCCUGAAAAAGCUGGCGCCAGUGACAGGGAAGAGGGGAGAGAGCAGAAAACUGCGAGCCGUAGCCAUUAACGGCGAGCGCCGACGAGCUGAGGAGAGGGGAGAUGCGACGAGCCGUAGCCGCCGCCCGAGGCUAGACCCGGCGAGCGCCGGACUGGGCUGCUCCGCCGCCGCUCCGCUGGCGCCGACGCCAUCCUCCUCGCCGCGCCGCCAAGCUCGUCACCAUCCUCCUCUCCACGCCGCCGACCUCGUCGCCGUCCGCGCCGCCGAGCUCCACGCCGGUGAGCUCCGUGAGCUCUGCGCCGCCGGAGAGGACGAGCUCCCGCCGUCCCGCUCCACCCCGGUGAGCUCCGCCAGAUCCACGCCGGUGAGCUCCGUGAGCUCCGCACCGCCGGAGCUAGUGAGCUCCGUGCCGUCCCGCUCCACGCAUGCGAGCUCUGCGGAAGGAGGGAGGGAGAGGGGCACCGGCGGACGAAGAGGUGGGGCGCGGCGGCGGCGGCGGCGGCGGCGGCGGCGAGCACGUGAGCCUCGGGUGCUCCUCCCAUCCUCCGCCGGUGGGGGAGAUAGUGGAGAGAGAGAGAGGGGGGGAGAUGAAAAGUGUGUGGGAGUGGGACCCAUGAAAAGUGGGUGGGAGUGGGAGUUGCAUUGUGAGGUGAGUUGCUUUAGAGGAGCUUGGUCCUAUGUGGCAUCACAAAUUCGUUCGUGGCCCAUGACGCAUUGUGAAUGGCCUCAAGCGACUCGGGAAUCAGGACAAGGACGAAGGAGGUGAUUCGCUAUCAAGCGGAGAACCCGAUGCACUGCCUGUAACAUCUACCAUGAUGACAUAGGCAGAGAUCUCAAAUAGCGACAAUACCAAGCAUACCGUUGAACAAACAUAGAGAUAUACGUGCAUUACAAGCAGUCUGGUUGGAAAGAUGUUUUGGAGAAAAAAAAAAGCUUGAAACAAACCAUAGACCGAUACACCUCCAUAAUGAUUUAAGGGUUGGAUAAACAAUGGGAUGCAUAUAAAACUUUCAGCCUAAACAACAAAACAGUGGUCAGGGUACGACUAUGUUCAUCGUCUACAUAAACCAGUAGACGUGGUGGUUCUAUCAUCAACAUUAUAGCUAGGAUCUGACUAUAUCGCUAGUCUACACAUAACUAGUAGGUGUGGCAAUUCCACCACCACCAUAGUAAACAUUAAUGGAAACUCGACAACAACUAGUUGCCGACCACCACCAUCAUUCUCGCCGAUAUAGUCAUAGGCUAGAUUAGGGUUCCAUUGCAUACCUUGUACUCAUGUAAUUGAUAUAGUGAAAAACACUUGACUCCGGCCAAAUAGGACAUAUAGUCAUUACCCAUCUAAGGGGCAUAAACUGUAUAAAACACAUUGUCUGUUGUCUCACGAAUAGUUGCAAGUAGGGCUAUCAAAAAAGCUCGAAGCUCGCAAGCUGCUCGAGCUUGAUUCGUUACAGGCUUGAUUCGAGCUCGGCUCAAAUACUAGACAAGCCAAGCUCAAGCCUAGGCUGAGGCUCGCAAGCCUAGCAAGCUCGAGCUCGAAUAGCUCGGCAAGGCUUGAUUAGCAUAAGAUGUAUUGCAUGUAGGAAGAUAUUCUUGAUGGGUCCAUGUAUACUUGUCAUCGUGCUUGACCUACUCAAGUCUCAAGACCUCAUCGAUGCUUCUCAAUAAAGCAAUUAUCCGGCUGCUAGUAAUAGUACUACUAUUCCUAUUAGAUGUAGUAGCUAGCUUUUGUUAAUUGCAACGUUUUAAAGCCAUGAAUUCAUGAGAAAAGCUGCAGAGGCUUUAUUCAAGAUAAGUAGCACCCAUUAAUUUUGACUACCGAUAAUUUGCAUUAAUAUCUCUUAUACAAGUGUAAGUUUUUUGGAGUUUCACCAAGACAAGCUGUCAAGCUCGAGUAGGCUCGAAGCUCGCUCGAGCUCGAACUCGAGCUCACUCCCAAGCUCGAUCAGUAUCCAGGCUUGGCUCGAGCUCGGCUCGAGUUCAUGUCAAGCUCAAGCCUACGUAGCCAAAUUCGCUCGAGCUCAGCUCGUUGACAGCCUUAGUUGCACGAAUGUCACUCAUUGAUCAAUAGUAAGUUAUUUAUUCAAGAGACUCAAGGCAUGUUCAUUUUGCUACCAUCUUUAACCCUACCAUUGUAUUUUUCAUAUAUAAUCAAUUGGAGUGAGGAAACUCGAAGUAUGGUACUCUGAACAAGAGCAAUAGUAGACAGUGAAUAAAUGAGAUGGGCACAUCAGGUUGCACGCCUGCCCCGGCUAGAAGGUACUACAUUCUCCCAUAGCACUACCCUAAAGAAUCAAGAAAACAGAUAAAUGAAUAGUUCCUUGUACAUAUCUACUAUAUGCUAAUUAAUGAUGAAAGGAGAGGAACCAAUAUACAUCCAGUUCAAGUUACCUAUCUGAACUCUGAAUCAGCCCGUUCAAGUCACUAAUAUUUUGGUUAAAUCGUGAAGAACCCAUUUGUAUUUUUAUAGACUAAUCUUGCUUCUUGGAUACACCUUUAGCCACAUUUUGUGUGUCUCGUGUAGUUCCUAUAGUUUCAAAGGAUCCUGAAAGUGCAUAUCAAGACAUCAGAAAUACCUUCUUGUUGAGCAAGGCAAACCAUACUGCUUUCCUUGAGAAUAUUAAAUCCCAGUAUGUGAAAACUGUCAUGGUUUAAAUUAUUGCACGGCUUAAUUAAAUUCCCGACGCAUUUAACUGUUUUAUUAGUCAUUCCUACAUUUAUGGUCUUAUUAUUUAUAUCCAUGUUUAUCCUUGACAACCCUAGGUAAACAAAAUCAGCUAGUGAAAGUUAUAUAUCUAGUGCUUAGUAGAUAUUUUAGGUUUAUGCUUAGCCAAGCUCAGAACAUAGCAUUUUUAUGCGGGAAUAAUUACUGCAAUUUGAUGAUGGAUCUCAAGUGCCAAGUGCCUCUUAGUCUCGACAAGGUCGCCGAUUAGUUGGGAGAAAAUGCCUUACAAAACCAAAACCUAUUUUCAGGGAGGGCUUAGGUGUACGCUAGUUGUUUCGAAGGAUGCACCUCGGCCACUAAAAGGAUAAAUCUUUCGAUCUGCCAUCGUUAUAAAGCAUAAUUGCUAACUUAUUUGCAAUUAAAUUAGAAGUAGGCAUUGAUAUUUUCUAACAGCAAACCUUCUAACCAUCAACAAGUAUGAAAUGGAUGAUUGGACAGAGUAAAGACACUUGCUUAUAGGAAUGAAUUCAAGCUAACAAAUAAUUUAGAGCAAGUUAUCCAGAAAUGCUGAUCCCAGAGCGUUCGAUGCGAGACCAAACAUCGGACGGUCAAAUAAGGUGGGGACCGCAGUUGAUUGAAUCCACCACAACCUUAUCGUCUCAUUUUCUCCUCAUUGUUUUUGUGCUCAUAGGAAACACAUGAUGACAUCACCAUCGUCGCCGCACCCACCGAGACAUUAAGUGGGAGGAGGUCACCGGUGGCCACGCGGGUGGCGACGGGGCAGCGCGAUGCGAAGAGGAAGGACGGCGCCGGUGACCACGCUGGCGGUGGCGUGGCAUGCUGAGGCGAAAGCGAGGACCGGAAGAGGUGCUAGCCCUCUACCCGUGGCGAAGCAGUGCCAUGCGAAGAAGGAGGCGCUGGACUGGAUGCCGAUGCAGCUAGCCCUGGUGGGGUCGCUCACCUGAAGUCGUUGCUUGCCCUCAUCCUCGUCUACGCAUCAUGUCACUUGUCUCCUCAUGCCAGCUGCUUGGUUUCGGUGGCCGGAAUAGAAGUCAGAGGAGUGGGUUUUAUUGUGAAUUAAAGUGAUGUUACGGUUUAUUUGUAUUUUUUUUACUUGAUUGUAUUAAGGUGUUUUAUUUCGUUUUGAUUCAAUAUUGUAUACAUUGAUUUCUUGGUGUUGCAAUCGAUAUGUUUUAGUAGUGUAUUUAGUUGAAACAACUAUGCUCUAGUGCGGAAACAUUUCUCUUAUUGUGAAACAUCUAGAACACUUUUGUUGCAACAAUUUUUAUCGAAGGGUGAAACAUGUGAACAUCAAUAACACGGUGCAAUACUUUCCAAUGAUUUGAAAAAAAUCAGACAUCCCAUCAAUAGCAGGCUCCCAAGCUAUCUAAACAAUGCUGAUGUAUUUUUUUAAAGAAAAAAAAAUCGACGAGCCAUAAUGAGAAGAACGGGCAUCAGCCAUCACCCGAUGAGCAUGUGGAACAGCAUGUCGUUGCAGGCGUCCAUGGCGCCGGGAAGGCACCAGUGCACGCAGUCCCGCGACACCUUGAACUUGUCCGGCUGCCACAGCCUGUACUUGCUCGGGUGGCCGUCCGGCCGCUGCGCCAUGGCCUCCGUCGCGUCCAUCAGCAGCAUCCUCGCCGCCUCUUUCCCCCUCUUCCCCGCCGUCUCCUCCGCCGCCGCCGCGAACUCCUCGACCUGUAUCCGGUGCAUGUCCUUCUCCAUGGCGUUCAACUCCCACUCGCCGCGCCGCGCCGGCCGAGUCCGGAGGCAGUCCCCGUCCCCGUUCCACGUCCCGUUCUCGUAGUGCGACGGCGAGAUCGUCCGCACGAUCACCGUCCUCCUCGUGGCGUGGCGGUGCGAGCCCGUCGCCGCCGCCCGGAGCGCGCUCCGGAACGCCAUCCGGAGGGAGUAACGGAGGGUGAGGUCGGUGACGUUCGGGGACAGGCAGGUGUUGCACCCGACGAGGCGGCCGCGGCGGUCGUAGAACAUCGACGGCCGGUAGAACCAGCUCCCGGCGGAGACGACGACGUAGUCGAACGCGCCGACGUGCGCCGCCCACCCGGCGUCGGGCUCGUCGAGGUGGAGGCUCCACAGGCCGGAGCCGCUCCCCGUCGGGCCGUCGGGGUCCGUCUCGACGGCGCGGACGAGGAACGGCGACCAGAACGCCGUGACGGUGAGGCCGUGCCGCUCGAAGCGGUACGCGUAGCUGCCGUUCGUCCACGGCGCCG
RNAcentral lists this long non-coding RNA (6838 nucleotides) under Oryza sativa (Asian cultivated rice). RNAcentral's name for it is "long non-coding RNA (OSAT_LNC001120)". The record is from RNAcentral. Lineage: Eukaryota; Viridiplantae; Streptophyta; Magnoliopsida; Poales; Poaceae.